UGGGAGGUGGUGUAACGGUAGCACAAUGGGUUCUGGAUCCAUUAAUCCUGGUUCGAAUCCAGGCCUCCCAGCCA
This 74-nucleotide transfer RNA is filed under the name candidate division WWE3 bacterium. RNAcentral's name for it is "tRNA-Gln". It matches the Rfam family "tRNA". Rfam says of the family: Transfer RNA (tRNA) molecules are approximately 80 nucleotides in length. Their secondary structure includes four short double-helical elements and three loops (D, anti-codon, and T loops). Lineage: Bacteria; candidate division WWE3. The record is from RNAcentral.